Amphibalanus amphitrite is the source of this 1664-nucleotide long non-coding RNA. RefSeq lists it as uncharacterized. NCBI's taxonomy places the organism in Eukaryota, Metazoa, Arthropoda, Thecostraca, Balanomorpha, Balanidae. The record is from RefSeq and is a predicted model, not a curated record. The transcript is spliced from 2 exons.
AAAACUGGAGAUACCGGCCAGCCCUCACAUCGCCACUCCGAGCCGCGGGGCCGCCAGCACCCGGAACGAGCGGCCAAGGCUGGGUCGGCCUGACGGCGACGCCGGAGGCAAAGCCGCAGCUCGCCGGAGCCGGCUCAGGACCAGCCGACCCUGGCAAAGUGGACCAAGGGCACGGCAGCCCGGCGACGGCGCCCGGGGCAGCGGUGCAGCCAGCCCGCGCGGUGGGGCGAGUCACGGCCGACGAGGAGCGCCCGGGGUGGGGACGUACGGGGCGGGGGUGCCGAGGGCCUGAGGCGACCCCGCCCUGGACCAGCUCAGCUCGACGGUGGUGUCACGUGGGCCUCCUCCCGACGGCGAACUGGGGAGGGGGCGAGGCUGGCCGUGGCGCCGCCGUAUAUAAAGCGUGUGCUCGGCGGUUCAAGGCAGUUCAGUUCGAGUUCCAGUCUCGAGUCGUCUCCAGUCACCACUACCAGAGAGGGAGUCGUCUCCAGUGGGGAGGCUCCAGUCGGAGACUCCAGCAGGGAGUCUACAGUUCCAGCUCCAGUCUCCGGUCACCAGACUCCAGGCGCAGUCUCCGGUCAUCUCGACCGGUCGGCCGAGACCCCGACGGCCGCUGGGCGCUCGCAGUGAUUGUGUCUGGCGUGCACAGUGUCAGGGACAGUGCUUGAGAUAACGCAGAUCUACCUCAUUCCCUCCCCCGUGGCGACAAUCAUUUGUUCUUCAUAUUGGUGGAAGGGAUGUGGAAAACUGGAGAUACCGGCCAGCCCUCACAUCGCCACUCCGAGCCGCGGGGCCGCCAGCACCCGGAACGAGCGGCCAAGGCUGGGUCGGCCUGACGGCGACGCCGGAGGCAAAGCCGCAGCUCGCCGGAGCCGGCUCAGGACCAGCCGACCCUGGCAAAGUGGACCAAGGGCACGGCAGCCCGGCGACGGCGCCCGGGGCAGCGGUGCAGCCAGCCCGCGCGGUGGGGCGAGUCACGGCCGACGAGGAGCGCCCGGGGUGGGGACGUACGGGGCGGGGGUGCCGAGGGCCUGAGGCGACCCCGCCCUGGACCAGCUCAGCUCGACGGUGGUGUCACGUGGGCCUCCUCCCGACGGCGAACUGGGGAGGGGGCGAGGCUGGCCGUGGCGCCGCCGUAUAUAAAGCGUGUGCUCGGCGGUUCAAGGCAGUUCAGUUCGAGUUCCAGUCUCGAGUCGUCUCCAGUCACCACUACCAGAGAGGGAGUCGUCUCCAGUGGGGAGGCUCCAGUCGGAGACUCCAGCAGGGAGUCUACAGUUCCAGCUCCAGUCUCCGGUCACCAGACUCCAGGCGCAGUCUCCGGUCAUCUCGACCGGUCGGCCGAGACCCCGACGGCCGCUGGGCGCUCGCAGUGAUUGUGUCUGGCGUGCACAGUGUCAGGGACAGUGCUUGAGAUGUAGGUAAGUACACGGGCUCAACCAGCCGCGCUGGCUAUGGCGCGCUGGUUGGGAUUAGAGGAGAGAAGUUGAGAGGAAAGUAUGAGAUCAGUAGUGAGUGGCUGUGCUUUCCCCAUCCUUAAUAAUAACACCUCUAUGUGCAAACGCUGUCUGUGGGGCGGUGCUGAGCGGGGGCUGAGGCGAUGGAGAGUCGGACUAGCGCUGGAAAGUAGACGAAUUGCAGAGCCACACAUCCAAACAAGUAGGUAG